GAGUUUGAUCAUGGCUCAGAUUGAACGCUGGCGGCAGGCUUAACACAUGCAAGUCGAACGGUAGCAGGAGAAAGCUUGCUUUCUUGCUGACGAGUGGCGGACGGGUGAGUAAUGCUUGGGAAUCUGGCUUAUGGAGGGGGAUAACUACGGGAAACUGUAGCUAAUACCGCGUAGUAUCGAGAGAUGAAAGACUGGGACCUUCGGGCCAGUUGCCAUAAGAUGAGCCCAAGUGGGAUUAGGUAGUUGGUGGGUAAAGGCCUACCAAGCCGACGAUCUCUAGCUGGUCUGAGAGGAUGACCAGCCACACUGGAACUGAGACACGGUCCAGACUCCUACGGGAGCAGCAGUGGGAAUAUUGCACAAUGGGGGAACCCUGAUGCAGCCAUGCCGCGUGAAUGAAGAAGGCC
Molecule: ribosomal RNA, 407 nt
Filed under: uncultured bacterium
Lineage: Bacteria
Description: bacterial SSU rRNA
Rfam family: Bacterial small subunit ribosomal RNA
Source: RNAcentral